Molecule: long non-coding RNA, 542 nt
Organism: Parus major (Great Tit)
Lineage: Eukaryota; Metazoa; Chordata; Aves; Passeriformes; Paridae
Exons: 4
Source: RefSeq, a predicted model, not a curated record
GAAUUUCUUUAGUGACACCCGGCCCUUCCCGCUCCUCAUUUCCUCCCUUCUCCCCCCAGCCACAGCCCAAAGACCGCCCCAGCCGGGUCCCCCCGCAGGUGCCGCUGCGGCCGCUCCCGGGCCGGGCCGAGCAGGAGCUGCAGCCCCGGGGCCCGGCCGGAGCUGCCGCUGGCACCGAGGCUGAGCGGGACGUCGGGGCCCAAGGCAGCGGGAGCCCGUGAAGAGCCGCCGCCGCACCGAGGGAGCCCUCCCUGCCCGGAGCCACCAGCCCGAGCUCAGCAGAUGUUGAAGUUGUGGCAGAUUCUUGGGGGAGAAGCUUCCAUUGCCCCACCCUGAAAUGGCCUCUUUCUUGGAGGAGGAUGUCAGCGUUGUCCCUGAGUGUUCAGGGGAGCAGCCUGUCAACAGGGCUGCAGCUGAGACAGCCUUGCCUGGCAACACAAGCAGUGGGAACAGUUCUCUGAAGCCCGAGGAGCCUGAGCUCCACCUGCUGUACCUCGCCCGGAGGGCUGCCCUGCGCAGGCAGAAGUGCCCGAGCUCCCAGC